UCUUAGGCUUCUGUUCUCCAAUCUCAGAACUUGUGCUGUGCUCCAUCACCAGGGGAACUGAUAGCUUUUAGCAGGCAAACCCUGAGGUGGAAAAGGCUGCUCAGCCUCCCUCUGCCUCUCUCCCCCAAACUCCCUCUUUUUUUCUCUCUCUCUCUUUAGUUUCAUCUUUCUCUUUCACAGCAUUUUGUUUUCCUUUGGUAUCCCUGUGACACUCCCCUUUUCCUUCCCCCCCUCGCAAAGGCAGGUUGGAAUUGAAGUAAAUUUAUUUCUCCUCUCUCCUCAUGCUGCUGCUGCUGCUGUGGACAUAAACCUUCCUCCUUCCAGAGCAGUCAGCGCUGUCACUGAAACGUAUUACCUCUGUUUCCAGAGCUCCUCACACAGGUGGUGUUGUAUUUCCAAGGCUGAAUAACAGGGAUGAUUUCAAGUUGACGUCUCUCUUUUUUUGUUUGUUUUUGCGUGACAACAUAUCACCUUUGUUUACUGUUUCUAUUGUUUCCCUCUGUGAGCAGAUCUGAGCCCGAUGGAGGACAUAAGACAGACCUGGCGGGUGAUGAAACACAAGGACACACAGGGUGGAGAGGCGGGGAGUUGGAACAGUGUGAGGUCUGGCAGAGCAGGUGAGAGAGGGGUUUUUGUGGAUGUUGCUGGUAAAUUCAGCAAAAGGAUUUAAAAAUAGGAGAGGGCAGUGAGUCAGAUCCCUGGACAAAGAGCAGUAAGGAAUUAACUUUUUUUUGUUGUUUUUUUACCUUCUUCCUACCUGCCCCGCGUUCUCACCUUCCAUCCCACAUAAUCACGUCACAGGAAGCACCUCAGGGAGAGGGUCUUUUUCUAACACUGUCUCCCUCUGCUUCCUUUGUUCUCUGAAAAUGAGCACCUCAGAUCUGAUGCCUCC
This 892-nucleotide long non-coding RNA is filed under the name Xyrichtys novacula (pearly razorfish). Lineage: Eukaryota; Metazoa; Chordata; Actinopteri; Labriformes; Labridae. The record is from RNAcentral.